AAAGGUUUACUGCCGGAAGAUCGGCCCGCGUCUGAUUAGCUAGUUGGUGGGGUAACGGCCUACCAAGGCGACGAUCAGUAGCUGGUCUGAGAGGAUGAUCAGCCACACUGGGACUGAGACACGGCCCAGACUCCUACGGGAGGCAGCAGUGGGGAAUAUUGGACAAUGGGCGCAAGCCUGAUCCAGCCAUGCCGCGUGAGUGAUGAAGGCCUUAGGGUUGUAAAGCUCUUUUAUCCGGGACGAUAAUGACGGUACCGGAGGAAUAAGCCCCGGCUAACUUCGUGCCAGCAGCCGCGGUAAUACGAAGGGGGCUAGCGUUGCUCGGAAUCACUGGGCGUAAAGGGCGCGUAGGCGGCGUUUUAAGUCGGGGGUGAAAGCCUGUGGCUCAACCACAGAAUGGCCUUCGAUACUGGGACGCUUGAGUAUGGUAGAGGUUGGUGGAACUGCGAGUGUAGAGGUGAAAUUCGUAGAUAUUCGCAAGAACACCGGUGGCGAAGGCGGCCAACUGGACCAUUACUGAC
Molecule: ribosomal RNA, 521 nt
Filed under: uncultured Methylobacterium sp.
Lineage: Bacteria; Pseudomonadati; Pseudomonadota; Alphaproteobacteria; Hyphomicrobiales; Methylobacteriaceae
Description: bacterial SSU rRNA
Rfam family: Bacterial small subunit ribosomal RNA
Source: RNAcentral